Long non-coding RNA from Chlorocebus sabaeus (green monkey), 769 nucleotides. RefSeq lists it as uncharacterized. The record is from RefSeq and is a predicted model, not a curated record. NCBI's taxonomy places the organism in Eukaryota, Metazoa, Chordata, Mammalia, Primates, Cercopithecidae.
AAGGAACUUCAGAAGUUUUCCAGCGUGUUCCCCUCAGACCCACAGCCUCCAGAGCCUCCGCCAUCACCAUGUAAAUGCUAAUGAAUGACAAGUGCCACAGAGGACUUUCAUCUUACCAUUUGAUGAGGAAGUUGGCUCUGGACAUGGAACAAGGAUGAUUUCUGCCUUGCUUUGACACAAUUAAUGGAGGUCACUGAAAUCAUCUUUCCCACUAGGAAGACUGUCACGAGGUGAGAAAGAAAGAAGGUCCGCAAUCAACACCGAGUUCUGAGAAGUUGACUGGGAUGAUGUUCUACCCAGCUCUCAUCUAAAGGAGGAGAGUCCCCAAGCCAGAGGAAGCCGUCAGAGAGCUUCUCAGCUGAGAAGAUUCUACGAGGUCCCAAAGGUUAAGGAUGCCAGUUACAGAAGCUUAACAGAGCAAAAGGGGAAGGAUGUGUCACUUGGCCAUGUAGCUGACUGAGCUUAGGGAAUAAGAAAGUAAAUGCAAUGGAGGUGACCAAGGGGUGACAACGCUUCAUCAUCAAGAUGAAGACCAUACAGGGGACUGGGGGUCAGAGGGAAACGAGGAUAGGGAAGUAAGGAGUGUGCUCGGUUAGGAAAAUGUAGAUUAUUGAUGUACCCUUGAGAUGUUUAGACAGAGGUGGCCAAAGACAGCUGGAGGAUGGCCACUUAAUAUUAGAAUUCAGGGCUGCCACACCAUCCAGCUUCAGGAGUUACCUUUCCUCUUGUUUUCCAUGUGCCUGGUGCUUCUCAGAGUUCUCUAGUGUGG